UUUAUGGAGAGUUUGAUCCUGGCUCAGGAUGAACGCUGGCGGCGUGCCUAAUACAUGCAAGUCGAGCGAACAGAUAAGGAGCUUGCUCCUUUGACGUUAGCGGCGGACGGGUGAGUAACACGUGGGUAACCUACCUAUAAGACUGGAAUAACUCCGGGAAACCGGGGCUAAUGCCGGAUAACAUGUUGAACCGCAUGGUUCUACAGUGAAAGACGGUCUUGCUGUCACUUAUAGAUGGACCCGCGCC
This 247-nucleotide ribosomal RNA is filed under the name Staphylococcus pseudintermedius. RNAcentral describes it as "partial 16S ribosomal RNA". It matches the Rfam family "Bacterial small subunit ribosomal RNA", at positions 1 to 237 of the family's 1533-position model. Lineage: Bacteria; Bacillati; Bacillota; Bacilli; Caryophanales; Staphylococcaceae. The record is from RNAcentral.